RNAcentral lists this ribosomal RNA (441 nucleotides) under uncultured bacterium. RNAcentral's name for it is "bacterial SSU rRNA". It matches the Rfam family "Bacterial small subunit ribosomal RNA", at positions 29 to 514 of the family's 1533-position model. The record is from RNAcentral.
AACGAACGCUGGCGGCAGGCUUAACACAUGCAAGUCGAACGGGCACCUUCGGGUGUCAGUGGCAGACGGGUGAGUAACGCGUGGGAACGUACCCUUCGGUUCGGAAUAACCCAGGGAAACUUGGGCUAACACCGGAUACGUCCGCAAGGAGAAAGAUUUAUCGCCGAAGGAUCGGCCCGCGUCGGAUUAGCUAGUUGGUGGGGUAAUGGCCCACCAAGGCGACGAUCCGUAGCUGGUCUGAGAGGAUGANCAGCCACACUGGGACUGAGACACGGCCCAGACUCCUACGGGAGGCAGCAGUGGGGAAUAUUGGACAAUGGGCGAAAGCCUGAUCCAGCCAUGCCGCGUGAGUGAAGAAGGCCUUAGGGUUGUAAAGCUCUUUCAGCGGGAAGAUAAUGACGGUACCCGCAGAAGAAGUCCCGGCUAACUUCGUGCCAGCAG